Schistocerca serialis cubense is the source of this 482-nucleotide long non-coding RNA. RefSeq lists it as uncharacterized. The transcript has 4 exons. Lineage: Eukaryota; Metazoa; Arthropoda; Insecta; Orthoptera; Acrididae. The record is from RefSeq and is a predicted model, not a curated record.
GUUGGCCACAGCGUUUAUACAGACUUGCCAUCAGCUGUUGUUUUGGAACGUCAAAUCAAUCCAGAUUGUUUGAAUGAAGCUUCCAUUAACAGAAUUAAAUGUAGAAAGAAGGGCUUGACACCAAAAAUCAAUUCCCUGUUGUGGAGCAACCAUGCACUAUGUUAUGACAGCCUGUUGUUCAACGUAGUGCAUCAGGGCUGGACAUGAACGAUGUUGUUGCUGUGCAGUAUGUUUAUGCCAUACCAGAUCUGCAGCACAGCACAACAGUCUGGACGAUGCCAUCUUAAGGACCAAUUAGGGAGAUCCCAAACAUUUGGAGCUUGACACUGAUGUUCAGUCAGGCCCAUCAGGCUAUCUCAAGAGCAGAUGACCUAAUAUUCCCAACAUUUGGAGUUCAGAAGGUCAACUUGGAUCGACUGGCUGCCAGAAGGAGGGUGGAAAGGACCCUGGAAUUUCACCACUUCAGAGGUGGGGAUUGGCAU